UACGGAGGGUGCAAGCGUUAUCCGGAAUCAUUGGGUUUAAAGGGUCCGUAGGCGGGCUAAUAAGUCAGAGGUGAAAUCCCACAGCUUAACUGUGGCACUGCCUUUGAUACUGUUAGUCUUGAGUCAUAAUGAGGUAGAUGGAAUGUGUAGUGUAGCGGUGAAAUGCAUAGAUAUUACACAGAACACCGAUUGCGAAGGCAGUCUACUAAUUAUGUACUGACGCUGAGGGACGAAAGCGUGGGUAGCGAACAGG
Molecule: ribosomal RNA, 253 nt
Filed under: uncultured bacterium
Lineage: Bacteria
Description: partial 16S ribosomal RNA
Rfam family: Bacterial small subunit ribosomal RNA
Source: RNAcentral